RNAcentral lists this ribosomal RNA (234 nucleotides) under uncultured bacterium. RNAcentral's name for it is "partial 16S ribosomal RNA". It matches the Rfam family "Bacterial small subunit ribosomal RNA", at positions 334 to 585 of the family's 1533-position model. The record is from RNAcentral.
ACCACCUACGGGACGCAGCAGUGGAGAAUAUUGCUCAAUGGGGGAAACCCUGAUGCAGCGACGCCGCGUGAAGGAAGAAGUAUUUCGGUAUGUAAACUUCUAUCAGCAGGGAAGAAAAUGACGGUACCUGACUAAGAAGCCCCGGCUAACUACGUGCCAGCAGCCGCGGUAAUACGUAGGGGGCAAGCGCUAUCCGGAUUUACUGGGUGUAAACGGAGCGCAGGCGGUGCAGCA